Molecule: ribosomal RNA, 447 nt
Filed under: uncultured bacterium
Lineage: Bacteria
Description: bacterial SSU rRNA
Rfam family: Bacterial small subunit ribosomal RNA
Source: RNAcentral
ACUCCUACGGGAGGCAGCAGUGGGGAAUCUUGGACAAUGGGCGCAAGCCUGAUCCAGCCAUGCCGCGUGAGUGAUGAAGGCCCUAGGGUCGUAAAGCUCUUUCGCCAGAGAUGAUAAUGACAGUAUCUGGUAAAGAAACCCGGCUAACUCCGUGCCAGCAGCCGCGGUAAUACGGAGGGGGUUAGCGUUGUUCGGAAUUACUGGACGUAAAGCGUACGUAGGCGGAUUAGUUAGUCAGAGGUGAAAUCCCAGGGCUCAACCCUGGAACUGCCUUUGAUACUGCUAGUCUUGAGUUCGAGAGAGGUGAGUGGAAUUCCGAGUGUAGAGGUGAAAUUCGUAGAUAUUCGGAGGAACACCAGUGGCGAAGGCGGCUCACUGGCUCGAUACUGACGCUGAGGUACGAAAGUGUGGGGAGCAAACAGGAUUAGAUACCCUGGUAGGAUAGAC